AGGCAGAGUUAAAGUUCUCAAGACUUGGUCAUGCGAAAGAGAUGGGACUUGAUCCUACAAGGCAGCUCUGCACCGAAAUCGUACACACAUCAUCUGCCUUAAUUUCUAAGCUCUCAGCUCAUUUUUAUGUACUUGGGAAAUUUGCUGUUCUCCGAGUGGAAGAAAUCCUAGAAAAAUUAAUUAUUUAAUGAGUUUCAAUAUUCAAAUUUGUGGCUGUUCGCUCAGAAUGUAAAUGCAGAGGCACGUUUAAAUUUUAACCAGAGUUCAGUGCAAAUUAAUAUCCACAUGGGCAGUGUGCAGCCAGACGAGAAAGGGAAGAAAAGAAUGUCUUCAAAGAAAAUAGGACAGAGGUCCGCUCCACUGUGAAGCUCGUUGCUCUGCUUCCAUGAUGAGGUGCCCAGCAGGAAGGAGCUUAGAUGCUGAUCCCAGAUCCAGCCUUUCAAGUGCUUCUCAGAAAAGAAAUGGGGAAGAAGGCCAAUGGAAAACAGAGAUCCUGAGGGUCAGGACCUACUCCGCAGGGCUGUGCCAAGACCUGGUUGGAGGACAGGUAAUUAAAAUGUCCAGAGUGGAUGAGAAAGCUCUUCUGGCUGCUGUAAAACCACAUUAUCUGAACAGCCAUCUCGUCUCAACCCAGAUGUUCAGAUCUCUAUUGGUUAUGACCCCAGGAGGGAAGAAGGCAUGAUUUAUUGAGUCAUUAGACAUCCAGCAACCCUUUCCUACCCGGUUGCAGCCUCUGUCUGAACCUUCUCCGUCUCUUAUCUAGAUCACUAAACACCCUGUGACCCGACCUUCCAGAGUCAGCAUCCACCUCCCUCCAAUCCCCAGAACCAGGGUGACCUUCCUAAACAGCACCAUUCUGACCUCCUUUCCUCUCUCCUGUGAAGAAAGACUACACUAAUGGCUCUCUCGUUCACAUGUCUGUCCGUACCCACACCCCUGGGUAGCACCUCUCCCUAUUGACUCUGCCCCGUGAUUUGCUUUGGCCAAGGGGGUAAUAACAAACAGUGACACAGCAGCCGCUUGAAACACACCAAACCACUUACUUGUCUGUUUCUUCUCUCGAACUCUGAGUGCCCACACCAGCCUGCUGGAGGGUUGUAGGAGAUGUGUCGAGGAGAGCUGAGUUAGCCAGUCAAGUCCAUGAUGAAUAACCCAGGCUCACGAAACCUGAUGGCUGACUUCAAAUACAGAAUGAGUCCAACCAAGGGGGCGGACUGCCUUCACCAACCAGCAGGCCUAUGAAAAACAAGCAAGCUGUGUUCAGUCUCUCUCUUUUGGAAUGGUUUGUUAUUCAGUGCCUGUAACUACCUCUGCAAGCAAAACAGAACCAAAGAAUCCCAGAACUCCCUAACAACUCGUGAGGCCUGUGAUCUUUCUGAGCUCUGUGCCUUCGAGCUGACCAACUCACUCCGCUACCCAUCGUUGUAAGCAGGCUUCCUACAGCCCGGUCUGCUCGAGCAACUGUAUCCUGAGUUUUGUGUCUGGCUCUUCUCCUCCCCCAACCCCAGCCCCGAUCAGCUCCUCUGUUCUGAUGACCCCUUACGUGGAAGUGACUCUCCUACCCUUGCUGCUCAGACCAGAUCAGAACUUUGAGUCAUGACUCAUUGGGUCACAAGAUAAGCUUAGAUAUGCAUAACUAGCGGUUUUGGUUUUGGUUUGCCCUGGUUUUUUGUUUUUUGGUUUUUUUUUUUUUUUUUUCUAUGCAGGGUUUGAA
Psammomys obesus (fat sand rat) is the source of this 1714-nucleotide long non-coding RNA. RefSeq lists it as uncharacterized. The transcript is spliced from 3 exons. The record is from RefSeq and is a predicted model, not a curated record. NCBI's taxonomy places the organism in Eukaryota, Metazoa, Chordata, Mammalia, Rodentia, Muridae.